This 205-nucleotide ribosomal RNA is filed under the name uncultured bacterium. Its description in RNAcentral is "partial 16S ribosomal RNA". It matches the Rfam family "Bacterial small subunit ribosomal RNA", at positions 568 to 772 of the family's 1533-position model. The record is from RNAcentral.
CGUGUAGGCGGGAAGGAAAGUCAGAUGUGAAAUCCCCAGGCUCAACCUGGGAACUGCAUUUGAAACUCCCUUUCUUGAGUACCGGAGAGGAAAGUGGAAUUCCUGGUGUAGAGGUGAAAUUCGUAGAUAUCAGGAGGAACACCAGUGGCGAAGGCGGCUUUCUGGACGGUAACUGACGCUGAGACGCGAAAGCGUGGGGAGAAAC